GACGAACGCUGGCGGCGUGCUUAACACAUGCAAGUCGAACGGAAAGGCCCUGCUUUUGUGGGGUGCUCGAGUGGCGAACGGGUGAGUAACACGUGAGUAACCUGCCCUUGACUUUGGGAUAACUUCAGGAAACUGGGGCUAAUACCGGAUAGGAGCUCCUGCUGCAUGGUGGGGGUUGGUAAGUUGCGGCGGUUGGGGAUGGACUCGCGGCCUAUCAGCUUGUUGGUGGGGUAGUGGCUUACCAAGGCUUUGACGGGUAGCCGGCCUGAGAGGGUGACCGGCCACAUUGGGACUGAGGUACGGCCCAGACUCCUACGGGGGGAAGCAGUGGGGAAUAUUGCGCAAUAGGCGGAAGCCUGAUGCAGCAACGCCGCGUGCGGGAUGACGGCCUUCGGGUUGUAAACCGCUUUCGCCUGUGACGAAGCGUGAGUGACGGUAAUGGGUAAAGAAGCACCGGCUAACUACGUG
RNAcentral lists this ribosomal RNA (468 nucleotides) under uncultured bacterium. RNAcentral's name for it is "partial 16S ribosomal RNA". It matches the Rfam family "Bacterial small subunit ribosomal RNA", at positions 28 to 507 of the family's 1533-position model. The record is from RNAcentral.